Molecule: long non-coding RNA, 550 nt
Organism: Myotis myotis
Lineage: Eukaryota; Metazoa; Chordata; Mammalia; Chiroptera; Vespertilionidae
Exons: 2
Source: RefSeq, a predicted model, not a curated record
UUUGCCAGGUAACAAGCCCACCUCCUUCUGUGCCCAGGCCUCAUCGUCCCUCUGACAGAUAGCAAGGAUUUCUUGGCUCUGAGAGAAACUUCUGACCCUCCUCAGCAUGAAGCAGCUACAGAAGAAAUCCAAUGCCCAUUUUCUCUGAACGAAUUCAGAGCCAGGAUCCUUAAGACAAGGGGACUCCCCAGAAGCAAGAGGGAACUAGGCUGCAGAUGAAGCAGUCCAGGAGGACUAAAACCAGUGGGGCCUUUACAGAUUCUAGUGACUCUUCCAGAUCCUGAACUACUCAUCUCACCAGUUUACUCAAGUUCUUUCAGGCUUUACAGUCUACCCAGAAAGCAGACCAGAAGCAAGUCCGAGAUGCUCUGCCUGUAUCUAGUUCGUCCCUUCCAACCUGGUAACUCUGUUUGGGUAAAGAAAUUUACCACACAAGGACUGACUCCUGCCUGGAAAGGACCACUCCCACCGCAGUCAAGGUCGACGGGAUCCUGAUGUGGCUUCAUCACACCUGGCUUAAGACAGCUUAAUAAAGGCUCUUAAAUUUAAA